Molecule: transfer RNA, 70 nt
Filed under: Culex quinquefasciatus (southern house mosquito)
Lineage: Eukaryota; Metazoa; Arthropoda; Insecta; Diptera; Culicidae
Description: tRNA-Met
Source: RNAcentral
GGCCGUGGCUAAACGGCUACGGCUCCCGCCUCAUAAGCGGAAGAUUUAGGGUUCGAUUCCCGACCGGUCU